Molecule: long non-coding RNA, 6629 nt
Organism: Clupea harengus (Atlantic herring)
Lineage: Eukaryota; Metazoa; Chordata; Actinopteri; Clupeiformes; Clupeidae
Source: Ensembl
UUGCAAAACAUGUAUUUCUUGCCUCUCCAAUCAAACCCCACCCCUUCCAUGCAAAAACUGAGACAGUAAGUUGACAUUGAAAAGUACUGACACUAAAACAAAAACUAGGUUUUCAAAUGUCAUUGAAAAAGCACAUCAGAAUAAACAAAAAACUGUCAAAACACAGCUAUGUAGAAGUGAACACCUGUGACUGUAUUCACAUUCACUACCCAAACAGCUUGUGUAGGUUAACUUGUACGUCGCUUUGGACAAAAGCGUCUGCUAAAUGACUAAAUGUAAAUGUAGAUGUAAAUGUUAAGAAAACCAAGAUGGCUGAUUGUUUGGUAUCGGUUUCCCUCCUCCAUCUUCAUCAGUUUGAGGUUGCUUUCAGGGCCUGCACGGCUCUGAGUGGCACUCCAUCACUCAGCCACCCCUCUGGUGUCCUUGACAACCACAGGAGGGAAGUUCUACAUACACAGACAGACAAUUGUCAUCGUAUACAAGAAAGCAGAUGCAUAUUUCAUGAUGCUUGCAUAUAUUAAGAAGAUCUCCACGGGGUUUCCAUAGCUGAAGUGGCCUUCCACUUUACAUCAUUUUCAUUAUAUUCACCAGGAUGAUUACAACAAACUACUAAAAGUGGGGGUUACUGUGCCACCUAAUCUGUAUUUCAGAUUACGAUGAUCCACUGUAUAUACAGACAGCUGCUGCGUGACUAUGAGGCAAUUUAGAUGUAAUCUUCUGAGGGUUAUCUCACCCCCUUACCACAUAAUCUUGCUUGCAAGGGCUCCAUGUUGUGAGAUACCAUUCCGUGGCUGAGUAGCUGUGGAUGACUCAGCCUUGUGCUACUGGUCCUAUUCUUAGUAACACUGUAUCUCUGUAUUGCAUAACUGAAUAUCACAGUAAGGUCAGCAUCCACACGUGUUAGUGUAAGUAGUUCACUUACAAAUCACUGAUGAUUUUCCAUGUCUGAGUGCGUAGAAGAGGUCUGAGUUAUAUUCCAGCUUGUUACUUUUUACACUGACUGGGGAUGAUAUCCUCAGGCAGUGGUUCAACUUCCAGCAACUUCCUCCUGUUACUCUAUCAUGGGUUUGCAUGCGGUCACCCCUAUCUGUAGUUGGAAUGCUGACAACACAACCUUUCUGUUCCAUGAACCGAGGGGAUUUACACCCACAGAAAGGCAGGGAUCCUGCCAGUGGCCAACUGCAGGGGCUGAUGGUGGGGAGGGGGACGUAUCUGACCACUGCAGCCCCUGCUCCAGGAUUAAAGGGAGGAAGCAUGGAUGAGGGUAAGAUCUCAGACGAUGACCUUGCUCCUGGCCAGGCGGCUCUGGUGGAGGUAUGACAGGCAGCUAUAACCUGUACCUGACAUCUUCAGCGCACAUUACACCAGGUGUCCCAUAGUGUGUGGCAUGCUGCCCGAGGAAGAGCACUUUUGGGUAUCCUUGAAGAAAGAAUUUAAGGAUGAGGACGAGGAAGAUAUACAUAACAAAUAAAGGCCUAAGGCUGAUUUUGACACAGAACAUGUACAUUAUGUUACUCAACAAACUUUUUUUUAAAUGUAAUAGUUUCUAAUUCGUAUUCAUUGUUAUGUUCUUUUUUUCUGUCUGAUGGAACUUGGUUUCCCCUAGUCUCUUCCACUUUCUGCACCAACUUCUGAGCUAGGCUUAGGCCCUACUGAAUAUAGUCUACAAUAUGCCCCCAGCAGAAAAAAGACCAAAGGAAGGGAACAUACCGAACGUUCCCGGGACAAUUCUGGCAUUCAUGAAAGUUUUCUCAUCUGUGAUUUGUUUGCUUUGAACAGAAUUUAAGAACGCUAAAUAACAGUCGUAAAUCGGCCAGUUUGGAGUGCGCCCAUGUUGUUAACGGCUGAAUUUGUGAGAAAUCAUUGGUGAUUGCGUUCACAUCAAGUUCUACAGACAUCCUCAGAUUUAAAUGAUUAUAAUAAUAAUAAAUAAGAGAAUAUUUGUAUCAUAAACAAUUACGUUUCACAUUUAUAGUCAUGUUUCUAGGAGGCAUCGUGAUGUCUUAACAAAAAUAAAAGCACUACACGAACACUGCAAAUGGCAUUGAAAAAAUAAAUACCGUAAAUCCUCAAAUUGUGGCCGGGGCUUUUAUUUACUUAGGCUGCACAGCGCACUGGCCUGUAUUUAGGGCAGGCUUGUAUUAGGGGCAGGCCUUUAUUUCUUACUUAUUAUACGGCUCUUCAGAAUGUUCCCCAACAUUAGCAGGUCUGUAAUUUCUUGAUAUUCACCACUGCGAAAAGUUAAUGACCGCUAUCAUUGGCAACAGGUUUUGUGCUUCUAAUUCACAUCUUUCAUAUCAUUCCACAAGAAGUCCGGUCAUUUAACGUAGCGGAAAGUCAUUGUAACUUGAAGUCAGCAAGUAAUGGGUUGCUACGCAACACCUGGAACGUUAAAGUUCUAUUAGCCUGAAGACAUUUUUUUUCUUAGCGGAAAUCACGAAACGGCAACAAAAUCAUGGAGGAAUGUCUUCUAUCGUUUAGGCAAGUAACUGUAUAAAAACAAAUUCGCCUUGUAGGCUGAAACAUUUCUUUUUUUAUUGCAAACAGCCAUGAAAUUAUCCAACAACAUUAAACAUGAGGAGAACAUGUAUUUAUGAAAUGCAUUCAAUUAAAUUGUGAUAUCUGCUUUGUGCUGAUGGACUGAUGCUGGUAGGCUACAGUAAAAUAGGCUACCGGUACCUUUUUUUACCCCCGGCUUGUAUUCGGGGCCCUGUCUUUAUUUGUCCGUAUCGACCACGCCCCCGGCUUCUAUCUGAAGCCCGGCCUCUAAUUGAAUCCCGGUCUUUAUUUGAGGAUUUACGGUAAGCACUAAACUCAAUCGCGUGGAUAUAGCCAUGGUGGAAUAGAAUGGACACAUCUACAUUCUGCAACAGUACCUCCACCUCUGCACCGGUGAAGUAAGGAUACAUGUUGAAAGUUGCUCCUGUAAAGUUCCAGCAAAACCCACGCUGACCGUGUGAACUUUGGACAUUAUUUGUCUGUGAGUAGAUAUUUUGUGUUGGGACAUUAAUGCCGUUUAGAGAAUUUGUGUUUGUAAAUGUUAUAAGAGAAUUCAGUAUUUAGCAGCCAAGUUAUGCUAGCUCUUGUGGUAUCGUGCUACCUUUAUGCCACAUCAUUUGACGUGAAAUGUAUGUAUCUCUUUAUUUCUGUCUGUUCCAGACAGUUUUACUAAAUCAAACGUCCUGUAUGAAUAAUUGCAUGCUGAUAACUUCAGUAAACUCAAAAAAAACAAGACUUGUGGAUUCACUUGAAAUUCAUCUUUAUUCUGCAAAGACAAGUGUUAGCUAGCUGUCAGUCCUGCAAGGUAGCAAACGCAGUACGAAGACAGCAUAGAGAGACAGAGGGAGAUAGGGCCAGACAGCAAUUUUUUCAUGUCCCCCCCAAGAUUUACUCUCUGAAAUGUUACCAUGUAUUGUCCCCCCCUACAAAGAAAUGGGAUCUCCGCCCCUGCCCACACCGUCAGGAAUGAUGUUUUUAAUAGCCAAAAUCCCAUCUCAGAGGCUAGAAUAAUGACGUGAAGUGUUUGUUAAUUAAUGGAGAAAUGGAAUCCUUGAACUGCAGAGCCCCCAUCCAUUUUUAAAGUGCUGGCUUGAAUUUACGAAUGGAUCCAAGUUCAUUACUAUCCUGUAGUUAGUAUCAACAAGUAGCUCAAUAGCAAGCCCAUCAGACAAACAUGGAUGGUUAGACUAGUCUAGAUCAGCUAGCUCAAAAGCUCUAAUUCUUAAAUGAAGACCUACAGGGGUCUGCUUGCCUCGACUAAGUCGAUGGAUUGAUGUUGAUGGACACACUAAUGGCCACACCACCUUGGUCAAACAUUUUUCACUUCUGUGAAGAGAGAGGAGGUAGGGGUGUACACACGUAGUAACACACCGUCCCCAAUCUGUUUCAGACGGGGAAUGUGAAAUCAUUUAGCUCACUAGCUGAGUCACACCACCUUGGUCAAACAUUUUUCACACCGUCCCCAAUCUGUUUCAGACGGGGAAUGUGAAAUCAUUUAGCUCACUAGCUGAGUCACACCACCUUGGUCAAACAUUUUUCACACCGUCCCCAAUCUGUUUCAGACGGGGAAUGUGAAAUCAUUUAGCUCACUAACUGAGUGCAGAACAUAAAGGUCAGGUCUGACGUCUUAGUCACGGGCCUCAGCAGUAAUGGACCUCUAAAGAGAGCCCAUCUUCAGUGAUGACAUCAUUAGAUCAUUUAACAAGGAUGUUGCUUUCUCCGGUUGAGGUAGAAAUCAUGCUGGAAUGCUCAUCACAUCCAGUUCUAAUGUGUUUCUCCCUCAAAGGAGACGGUGUUUGACCCGUUCAUUUCUUACGAUUACUUGUGUCAUCGUGUGCAGGAAGUGGAAGAGUGAGGUACUCAGAUGCCUGCAGCACACGGUUUGGCAAAACCACAGUUGUGUGCUGGCAAGUGGAGUUCUCUGAUGAUCCAGCUCUUUGCUUUUAAUGAGCACCAAAGAUCAAACAGUGGUGUGUUUGGUUUGAUUGGGUUGACCCAGAUGAAAUAACUUGCAUGCCUCUGAAGCCAACUGAGCAUGUAGCGUAAGAGAGGGACAUAAGUGAAAUGUGAUUUUGUUUGCUUGACAUAUAAAAAGGGUUAUGUUAGUUUACUUACCACAAUUCCGGCUGUACAUAUAUCCAGGACAGGUAGAUUUUUUUCGAUAACAAUGCUAUGAGGAUAAAAUGACAAUGAAAUAGACGUACAUUUUAUUUGGUGAUUUCAAGAUAGUAAGUUGUUAUUUCUAGAUAGUAUCUCAAGUAAGUCGAUAUAUUAUCUUGUUUUCAAGAUUUUAAGUUUAAGUUUAAUAGUAUUUCAAAAGUCAUUAUUUCAAGAUAGUAUCUUGUUAUUUCAAGAUAUUAUUAUCUUACUACUCGGUAAGACGUUGUAAGAUGCAGUAGCUUAUCAGGUUAAAUGGGCCCAUAUCUCUCAAAGUAAAAGAUUAAAGUAAAGCACAUAUUUUAACAUUGUGAGAAAAAAUGAAUGCCUUAAAAAAUAAAUAUUAAACCCUUGAAGUGACCUUGAUCAAUAAAUAGCCUUUCAUGAUAUCCUCUGGAUGAAGAAGCCUAUUUAAUGUUUUUUAUUUUUAUUUGAGGUAUCAUUGCAAUGACCUGGUCUAAAUUAGUGAUUUCUAGUGUCAUGCAAGUAGUCAAUAAAAUGUUAAAGUGGACAUUACACACUAAAUGUAGUUAGCAUUAUUUACAAGAUGGGUUCCCACUGUAAAAAUCCUAAUAGGUUUAACACUGUCAGUGAAACUGGAUUAAAAAUAAUAACUAAUAAGUAAUUGAAGUUACAAUUUGCAAACAAGUCUAGCACCAUCUUUGAAACUCUGACUUAGUAAAUAUUAUCUUGAAAUAAGAACUUAUUAUUUUGAAAUAAUGAGAUACUAUCUUGAAAUAAUGACAUGACAAUAUGUUUAAACAAUGAGAUAUUAUCUUGGAAUUAUGACAACAUAUUGUAAAAACGAGACACCACCGUGAAAUAAUGAUUUAAUAUCUUGAAAUAACAAGAUACUAUCUAGAAAUAAUGACUUAAUAUCUUGAUAUCCUGAAAAGGAUCUAUUAGUUAUUUAGGUUUUCAAUUUUCUUCACAUAAAUACACAUGUACUGUAUAUUGACAGUAAUGGUAACAUGACAUCUGCCACAGCAUGUUUUUAUGUAGUAACAUCAAUCUGAUAAUGUAGGCUACCAAUUCAUUUCACUGUAUGCAAUUCACAGUAGCAGUAAAUUAUCUUUUUCAUGUGUCUUUGUUGAGGUCUUACUGCAAGACCUUGCUCAGGGAGAGACAUUAUUGGCAAGCUUCAGCCCUACUUCUUGGAAUGACUGUAGCAAAAAGAAGGGCAGUGGUGUUUGUCAAGGGGCUGUUUGCUCAAUAUGCCUGAAAUCACUGGGCAGCCAGGGAGCAUGUAAUCUUUCAACUCCCACCCCCACCCUGAAACCCCCGUCCGCUUUAUACGACUGGAUGUCUAGCGAGACAUUUUGAUUGCAACACUGUGCUCAAGUUGCCCCAAAUCAAAUGCAGUACAGACAUGUUCACGAUGGCCGCCGCCUGUUGUGCAGAAUACCAAUGACCAUCUUCCAUUAGGAGGCAGAUUAACAGAGAAUGUCAAUUGAAAAAAACCCUCCAGUCUCUCCUUUUCAAACCUCCAUUAGUUGAUUAAUUUUUACCAUUUACAGAAGCCAUCUUGUUCCAAACAUGUUUUAAUACUUAGCUGUCAAUCAUCCAAACAAUGUACAUCUGUCAAUGUCAGUUAAAGAAAUUUGCACUGAGGGAAGCACUUUGUCUCUCCUCUGGGCUCUCUUCCCUGCAGACAUCAAUAUAAAUCUACGUCCUCCACAGACUGACAACCUCCCAUUACGAGCAUGCAUGGGGAAAAAGACAAAUUGCGGCUCUCUCACCCUGAGGUUGGCGAGAGUUCAUCCAGACUGGGCCACGGAGGAGGCCGAGUGCUUUUGUUGGCCUGUCACAACUCCGCAUGUCAGCUGGGCACGUCAGUGGGUGUUAAACACGGCCCCGCAUCGGGGGCCCUGCGUUUAACUCGGCACGGGCGCGGAAUCGAAUGCUCGCUCAAGUGCAUCCCUUUGAAUCCAAUCUGUAGUGUCCUCCUGGGCUGGAAUGUUCAUGAGUGUGUG